AUACCAGGUGCUGUAAACAU
RNAcentral lists this ribosomal RNA (20 nucleotides) under Misgurnus anguillicaudatus (oriental weatherfish). Lineage: Eukaryota; Metazoa; Chordata; Actinopteri; Cypriniformes; Cobitidae. The record is from RNAcentral.